Molecule: ribosomal RNA, 444 nt
Filed under: uncultured bacterium
Lineage: Bacteria
Description: partial 16S ribosomal RNA
Rfam family: Bacterial small subunit ribosomal RNA
Source: RNAcentral
CUACGGGGUGCUGCAGUGGGGAAUAUUGCACAAUGGGCGCAAGCCUGAUGCAGCAACGCCGCGUGAGGGAUGAAGGCCUUCGGGUUGUAAACCUCUUUUAGCAGGGAAGAAGCGAAAGUGACGGUACCUGCAGAAAAAGCACCGGCUAACUACGUGCCAGCAGCCGCGGUAAUACGUAGGGUGCAAGCGUUGUCCGGAAUUAUUGGGCGUAAAGAGCUCGUAGGCGGUUUGUCACGUCUGCUGUGAAAAUCCAAGGCUCAACCUUGGACUUGCAGUGGGUACGGGCAGGCUAGAGUGCGGUAGGGGAGAUGGGAAUUCCUGGUGUAGCGGUGGAAUGCGCAGAUAUCGGGAGGAACACCAAUGGCGAAGGCACAUCUCUGGGCCGUAACUGACGCUGAGGAGCGAAAGCGUGGGGAGCGAACAGGAUUAGAUACCCCAGUAGUC